Molecule: unclassified non-coding RNA, 273 nt
Filed under: Fellomyces horovitziae
Lineage: Eukaryota; Fungi; Basidiomycota; Tremellomycetes; Tremellales; Cuniculitremaceae
Description: partial contains 5.8S ribosomal RNA, internal transcribed spacer 2, and large subunit ribosomal RNA
Source: RNAcentral
CGCAACUUGCGCCUCUUGGUAUUCCGAGAGGCAUGCCUGUUUGAGUGUCAUGAAUACCUCAACCCCCCGGGUUUUUCUCAAACCUGUGGGUGGCUUGGAGAUGGGCGUCCUGCCGGUGCCGAGCCGGCUCGCCUCAAAGGUCUCAGUGGGAUCCUCGACCCCAUGCCUGACGUAAUAAGUUUCGUCUGGGCCGGGUCGGGCGAUGUCCGCUCACAACCCCUCAUAUUCUGUGACUCUGACCUCAAAUCAGGUAGGGCUACCCGCUGAACUUAA